This 252-nucleotide ribosomal RNA is filed under the name uncultured bacterium. RNAcentral describes it as "partial 16S ribosomal RNA". It matches the Rfam family "Bacterial small subunit ribosomal RNA", at positions 524 to 780 of the family's 1533-position model. The record is from RNAcentral.
UACGAGGGGGCGAGCGUUGUUCGGAAUUAUUGGCGUAAAGGGUGCGUAGGCGGCCUGACAAGUCUGAUGUGAAAUCCCUGGGCUCAACCCAGGGCCUGCAUCGGAAACUGUCGGGCUUGAGUAUGGGAGAGGUGAGUGGAAUUUCGGUGUAGCGGUGAAAUGCGUAGAUAUCGGAAGGAACACCUGUGGCGAAAGCGGCUCACUGGACCAUUACUGACGCUGAGGCACGAAAGCUAGGGAGCAACAGGAGUA